This 465-nucleotide ribosomal RNA is filed under the name Vreelandella stevensii. RNAcentral's name for it is "partial 16S ribosomal RNA". It matches the Rfam family "Bacterial small subunit ribosomal RNA", at positions 338 to 795 of the family's 1533-position model. Lineage: Bacteria; Pseudomonadati; Pseudomonadota; Gammaproteobacteria; Oceanospirillales; Halomonadaceae. The record is from RNAcentral.
CCUACGGGGGGCUGCAGUGGGGAAUAUUGGACAAUGGGGGGAACCCUGAUCCAGCCAUGCCGCGUGUGUGAAGAAGGCCCUCGGGUUGUAAAGCACUUUCAGUGAGGAAGAACGCCUGGUGGUUAAUACCCAUCAGGAAAGACAUCACUCACAGAAGAAGCACCGGCUAACUCCGUGCCAGCAGCCGCGGUAAUACGGAGGGUGCGAGCGUUAAUCGGAAUUACUGGGCGUAAAGCGCGCGUAGGUGGCUUGAUAAGCCGGUUGUGAAAGCCCCGGGCUCAACCUGGGAACGGCAUCCGGAACUGUCAAGCUAGAGUGCAGGAGAGGAAAGUAGAAUUCCCGGUGUAGCGGUGAAAUGCGUAGAGAUCGGGAGGAAUACCAGUGGCGAAGGCGGCCUUCUGGACUGACACUGACACUGAGGUGCGAAAGCGUGGGUAGCAAACAGGAUUAGAUACCCCGGUAGUC